Molecule: ribosomal RNA, 253 nt
Filed under: uncultured bacterium
Lineage: Bacteria
Description: partial 16S ribosomal RNA
Rfam family: Bacterial small subunit ribosomal RNA
Source: RNAcentral
UACGAAGGGGGCUAGCGUUGCUCGGAAUCACUGGGCGUAAAGCGCACGUAGGCGGAUCUUUAAGUCAGGGGUGAAAUCCCAAGGCUCAACCUUGGAACUGCCUUUGAUACUGGGGAUCUCGAGUCCGGAAGAGGUUGGUGGAACUGCGAGUGUAGAGGUGAAAUUCGUAGAUAUUGGGAAGAACACCGGUGGCGAAGGCGGCUAUCUGGACCGACAUUGACGCUGAGGCGCGAAAGCGUGGGGAGCAAACAGG